AGUACAUGGUGAGGACACUUUCUAAGCCUCUCCUUGAAUCUCUCUCAAGCUUCUCUUAGUGUUUCAUCUUCAAAUUUAUGAAAAGCAACAAUCUCAUUUCUGAACC
Cucurbita moschata (crookneck pumpkin) is the source of this 106-nucleotide small nucleolar RNA. RefSeq annotates it as Plant small nucleolar RNA R71. The transcript has a single exon. The record is from RefSeq and is a predicted model, not a curated record. NCBI's taxonomy places the organism in Eukaryota, Viridiplantae, Streptophyta, Magnoliopsida, Cucurbitales, Cucurbitaceae.